GAUGAUGAACGUAGCGAAAUGCGAUAAGUAGUGUGAAUUGCAGAAUUCAGUGAAUCAUCGAAUCUUUGAACGCACAUUGCGCCCUUUGGUAUUCCUUAGGGCAUGCCUGUUCGAGCGUCAUUUAAACCUUCAAGCUCAGCUUGGUGUUGGGUGACUGUCCGCUUCACCGCGGACUCGCCUCAAAAUUAUUGGCGGCCGGUACAUUGGCUUCGAGCGCAGCAGAAACGCGAACUCGGGCCCGUCGUAUUGGCUCCCAGAAGCUAUCUUCACAAUUUUGACCUCGGAUCAGGUAGGGAUACCCGCUGAACUUAAGCAUAUCAAUAAGCGGAGGA
Molecule: unclassified non-coding RNA, 332 nt
Filed under: soil metagenome
Description: partial contains 5.8S ribosomal RNA, internal transcribed spacer 2, and large subunit ribosomal RNA
Rfam family: 5.8S ribosomal RNA (bases 1-120)
Source: RNAcentral